AUUGAACGCUGGCGGCAUGCUUUACACAUGCAAGUCGAACGGCAGCGCGGGCUUCGGCCUGGCGGCGAGUGGCGAACGGGUGAGUAAUACAUCGGAACGUGCCCAGUAGUGGGGGAUAGCUCGGCGGAAGCCGGAUUAAUACCGCAUACGACCUGAGGGUGAAAGCGGGGGAUCUUCGGACCUCGCGCUAUUGGAGCGGCCGAUGGCAGAUUAGCUAGUCGGUGGGGUAAAGGCCUACCAAGGCGACGAUCUGUAGCUGGUCUGAGAGGACGACCAGCCACACUGGGACUGAGACACGGCCCAGACUCCUACGGGAGGCAGCAGUGGGGAAUUUUGGACAAUGGGCGAAAGCCUGAUCCAGCAAUGCCGCGUGUGUGAUGAAGGCCUUCGGGUUGUAAAGCACUUUUGGCGGGAACGAAAAGGACUGUGCCAAUACCACGGUUCGAUGACGGUACCCGCAGAAUAAGCACCGGCUAACUACGUG
RNAcentral lists this ribosomal RNA (484 nucleotides) under uncultured bacterium. RNAcentral describes it as "partial 16S ribosomal RNA". It matches the Rfam family "Bacterial small subunit ribosomal RNA", at positions 29 to 507 of the family's 1533-position model. The record is from RNAcentral.